RNAcentral lists this long non-coding RNA (666 nucleotides) under Homo sapiens (human). Its description in RNAcentral is "HSALNT0277019". The record is from RNAcentral. Lineage: Eukaryota; Metazoa; Chordata; Mammalia; Primates; Hominidae.
CAAGAAAAUUGUCUCUGGAGUUCAUCCAAAAAGAUAGUUUUAUACCUCAUUUUAGCAGUGACUUAAAGUUAUACAGGCAUUACCAUUAAGACUGAAUCUUUUAAUCUUUAUACUGUCACCCACAAUACAUAUAAAUUAACCACAAGCCUGCUUUUUCCAGUAACAAAUAGCAUAUCAAUAAUUAAGGAACACACAAAAGCAUCAAGGACCAAAUGACUACUAAAGAAUUUCCAACUUACUCAGAAUACCUUUUUAAAAAUCCUUUUAUUGUGGUGGGAAAAAGAAGAAAAAAAAAGGAGAAAAGGGUGGGGGGUUUGUGUCAGAUACUUACGCUGACUUUGGGCUGAGAAGGCAAAGUCCCACUUGCCUUCAUUGUGCUCACUAGCUUGUUGAACGCAGUCAUGUCUCCGUCUUUCUUCAGUUGUCGAUUGUUGGUUACGGCACUCAAGGUCUCUUCUAGGUGUUCUGCCAUGAAGGGAGUUGAAUUCUUCACUUGCUGGUCAACCUUCAAGCCCUUCAGACCUGCUUCUACCUCCUCCACUGAAAGCACAACCCCUGAAUGUGCUGAGAAGUUGAGAACGUCCAGGUUAAAUCAAGCAAAGAGAUAUCUGUCCCGCAGGUCCUUAUCGCUAAGACGGUGAUCCUUCUCAAAGGUCCGGGCAGAGA